This 299-nucleotide unclassified non-coding RNA is filed under the name Hevea brasiliensis (rubber tree). The record is from RNAcentral. Lineage: Eukaryota; Viridiplantae; Streptophyta; Magnoliopsida; Malpighiales; Euphorbiaceae.
UGCCAAAAAAUCCAAAUUUAUAGUAUCUGCCUUGUAAUUCUGUUAUUUUGUAACUUUGUUUUGUGGAAAAGUAGUAUAUGAAUUAUGAUGAAUUGUGUUUUAUGAAAUCAGCUAUCAAGUUAGUAUGUUUAGGAAUUUUCCUUUUUUUUUUUAUUGCAAAUAUAUGCUGAUUUUUGGCUCCAACAACCAAAAUCAAAAUAACGAGCCGAGGGCAUGUACCAUGUGUUGUCGGGGUCAAUGGCUCUUCCCUGAGUCUGGUAGGUAUAGCAUCAGUCAAUUAUGGGCAAAUUAUUAGCUGC